This 83-nucleotide transfer RNA is filed under the name Naumannella halotolerans. RNAcentral's name for it is "Propionibacteriaceae bacterium WS4616 tRNA". It matches the Rfam family "tRNA". Rfam says of the family: Transfer RNA (tRNA) molecules are approximately 80 nucleotides in length. Their secondary structure includes four short double-helical elements and three loops (D, anti-codon, and T loops). The record is from Rfam by way of RNAcentral. Lineage: Bacteria; Bacillati; Actinomycetota; Actinomycetes; Propionibacteriales; Propionibacteriaceae.
GCGCGAGUGGCGGAACGGUAGACGCGCUGUCUUCAGGUGGCAGUGUCCGCAAGGGCGUGGAGGUUCAAAUCCUCUCUCGCGCA